AAGUCGUAACAAGGUAACCGUAGGUGAACCUGCGGUUGGAUCAUUAACAAUGGUUUUCAAACCUUUACACCCUGUGCACUAUAUUGUUCUUGGUGUUCUUUGGAGCACCGACUUUUACAUACUUUUUAUUUUAUGAGUCUUGAAUUUGUAUUAAAACAUUAAAACUUUUGACAACGGAUCUCUUGGCUCUC
RNAcentral lists this unclassified non-coding RNA (191 nucleotides) under fungal sp. Its description in RNAcentral is "partial internal transcribed spacer region". The stretch from base 1 to 46 matches the Rfam family "Eukaryotic small subunit ribosomal RNA", at positions 1786 to 1831 of the family's 1831-position model. The record is from RNAcentral. Lineage: Eukaryota; Fungi.